GACGAACGCUGGCGGCGUGCUUAACACAUGCAAGUCGAACGGAAAGGCCCUGCUUUUGUGGGGUGCUCGAGUGGCGAACGGGUGAGUAACACGUGAGUAACCUGCCCUUGACUUUGGGAUAACUUCAGGAAACUGGGGCUAAUACCGGAUAGGAGCUCCUGCUGCAUGGUGGGGGUUGGAAAGUUUCGGCGGUUGGGGAUGGACUCGCGGCUUAUCAGCUUGUUGGUGGGGUAGUGGCUUACCAAGGCUUUGACGGGUAGCCGGCCUGAGAGGGUGACCGGCCACAUGGGGACUGAGAUACGGCCCAGACUCCUACGGGGGGAAGCAGUGGGGAAUAUUGCACAAUGGGCGGAAGCCUGAUGCAGCAACGCCGCGUGCGGGAUGACGGCCUUCGGGUGGUAAACCGCUUUCGCCUGUGACGAAGCGUGAGUGACGGUAAUGGGUAAAGAAGCACCGGCUAACUACGU
Molecule: ribosomal RNA, 467 nt
Filed under: uncultured bacterium
Lineage: Bacteria
Description: partial 16S ribosomal RNA
Rfam family: Bacterial small subunit ribosomal RNA
Source: RNAcentral